CCUACGGGAGGCAGCAGUGAGGAAUAUUGGUCAAUGGACGAGAGUCUGAACCAGCCAAGUAGCGUGAAGGAUGACUGCCCUAUGGGUUGUAAACUUCUUUUAUAAAGGAAUAAAACGAGGCACGUGUGCCUUUUUGCAUGUACUUUAUGAAUACGGAUCGGCUAACCCCGUGCCAGCAGCCGCGGUAAUACGGAGGAUCCGAGCGUUAACCGGGCUUAUUGGGUUUAAAGGGAGCGUAGAGGGGUUGGUAAGUCAGUUGUGAAAGUUUGCGGCUCAACCGUAAAAUUGCAAUUGAUACUGGCAGUCUUGAGUAAAGUUGAGGUAAGCGGAAUUCGUGGUGAAGCGGUGAAAUGCUUAGAUAUCAGGAAGAACCCCGAUGGCGAAGGCAGCUUACUAAGCUGUGACUGACAUUGAUGCUCGAAAGUGUGGGUAUCAAACAGGAUUAGAUACCCGAGUAGUC
RNAcentral lists this ribosomal RNA (460 nucleotides) under uncultured bacterium. RNAcentral's name for it is "partial 16S ribosomal RNA". It matches the Rfam family "Bacterial small subunit ribosomal RNA", at positions 338 to 795 of the family's 1533-position model. The record is from RNAcentral.